UCCCUGGUGGUUCAAUGGUUAAGACGCUGAGCUUCCAGUGCAGGGGCAUGGGUUCAAUCCCUAGUCAGGGAA
RNAcentral lists this transfer RNA (72 nucleotides) under Ovis aries (sheep). It matches the Rfam family "tRNA". From Rfam's summary of the family: Transfer RNA (tRNA) molecules are approximately 80 nucleotides in length. Their secondary structure includes four short double-helical elements and three loops (D, anti-codon, and T loops). Further hydrogen bonds mediate the characteristic L-shaped molecular structure. tRNAs have two regions of fundamental functional importance: the anti-codon, which is responsible for specific mRNA codon recognition, and the 3' end, to which the tRNAs corresponding amino acid is attached (by aminoacyl-tRNA synthetases). tRNAs cope with the degeneracy of the genetic code in two manners: having more than one tRNA (with a specific anti-codon) for a particular amino acid; and 'wobble' base-pairing, i.e. permitting non-standard base-pairing at the 3rd anti-codon position. Lineage: Eukaryota; Metazoa; Chordata; Mammalia; Artiodactyla; Bovidae. The record is from Rfam by way of RNAcentral.